GAGUUUGAUCUUGGCUCAGAUUGAACGCUGGCGGAAUGCUUUACACAUGCAAGUCGAGCGGCAGCGCGGGGCAACCUGGCGGCGAGCGGCGAACGGGUGAGUAAUGCAUCGGAACGUGUCCAUGUCGUGGGGGAUAGCCCGGCGAAAGCCGGAUUAAUACCGCAUACGCCCGAGAGGGGAAAGUGGGGACCGCAAGGCCUCACGCGAUUGGGUCGGCCGAUGUCCGAUUAGCUAGUUGGCGGGGUAAAGCCCACCAAGGCGAUGAUCGGUAGCUGGUCUGAGAGGAUGAUCAGCCACACUGGGACUGAGACACGGCCCAGACUCCUACGGGAGGCAGCAGUGGGGAAUUUUGGACAAUGGGGGCAACCCUGAUCCAGCCAUUCCGCGUGAGUGAAGAAGGCCUUCGGUUG
RNAcentral lists this ribosomal RNA (410 nucleotides) under uncultured beta proteobacterium. RNAcentral describes it as "bacterial SSU rRNA". It matches the Rfam family "Bacterial small subunit ribosomal RNA", at positions 9 to 425 of the family's 1533-position model. Lineage: Bacteria; Pseudomonadati; Pseudomonadota; Betaproteobacteria. The record is from RNAcentral.